UUAUGGAUAGGGUAUUUUUUUAAAACUCAUUUUUCAAAGAAGAAGCUAAACUAGUUAAUAAACGACAACUUACAGGGCCAGGCAGUAAGAAACAAGUGCCUGAUAAACGGUGGAGAAUGUGAGCACCCUCCACACGGGUGGGAGGAGACAGGGACGGCUUCUCUGGGGAGCGGCAGUGGCUGGAGCAAAGGUUUGCAGGAGGUGGGUCAUGUGCUCUGUGCUGCUGGUUUCUGUUUCACCUUGUGUCUGAGCUGGCUGGAAGGCUGGUUAUUCGUCCUGAGCUUCCUGCCUGUCCGUGCCCCGCCAACAGCUUCAGAAGACAGUGACUGGCGGCUGCCUGAGGAAUACCCGUGGGCAAGAGAAUUAGCAUUUAUGGAGCAUCACUGUCUGAGCAGCCCCUGGGUGUGUCCACUUUCAGGGCCUGUGAGGUUGGACCUUGGCAGCCUGAGCCCUUGAGUUGGCCACUUAAAUCUUGGGAAUAUUGAGAGUCUCGCCCUGUCACCCAGGCUGGAAUGCAGUGGUGCAAUCUCGUCUCGCCACAACCUCCACCUCCCGGGUUCAAGUGAUUCUCAUCUCAGCCUCCUGAGUAGCUGGGAUUACAGGCGCCUGCCUCCACACGUGGCUUUUUUUUUUUUUUUUUUUUGUAUUUUUAGUAGAGAUGGGGAUCUCACCGUGUUGGCCAGGCUGGUCUUGAACUUCUGGCCUCAAGUGAUCUGCCCACCUCAGCCUCCCAAAGUGCUGGGAGCUCACAGGCGUGAGCUAUAAUAAAAGCAAUAUAUAAAAGCAAUAUACUUAUGAUUUUAUUUCUUGGUUAAGUUCCUACUUAUUAUGUAUUUACCCUGCAUGCCAGGAGCUGUUCUAAGAGUUUACAUGUAUUAACUUGUUUGAUUCGCAUAAUAACCUUCACAUGCAGGAAUCAUUAUUAUGGUGACCUUAUGAAAGAGGAAAGAAAGGCACUAACAAUUGAUUUUAUGUUAUUUAGGUUAAGGUUCAUUGUGUUGUUCAAAUCUUGUAUAACUCUACUGCAUGUCUGUGUUUCUUACCCAUUAUCGAGAAGGCAACAUAAAUAUCUUACACUAUGACUGUGGAUUGUCAAUUUCUCAUUUGAAAGUUGGAGUUUUCCUUUAUGUUUGCCUUAUGUGGUGUUAGUCUAAUGAUAUCAGUUGGUACAUCUUUUUCCAUCCUUGUACUUUCAGUGUUUAGAUGUUCUUAUACUUGAAUUAUGUCUGCUGUAAGGUUUUUCUUUUCUUAUAGAAAGAUAUACUCUGGAAAGUUUUCAUAAAAUUAUAGUAUUUAGUCUAUUUUCAUUGAAUGUAAUUACCAAUGUAAUUGGGCUGAAAUCUGUCUUUCCAUUUGUUUUCUGUUUGUCACAUCAGUUCACUUUUCUCUACUUUCUUGAUUUCUUUGAGAUGACUUAGUAAUUUCAGAAAGUUCAUCCGACCCGUUAUUAGCUUGAUUGUGCCUUCAGUAUUCUCUUAGAUGCACUUGAGUUGUGCUGCCAAUAGCGCACCUGCGUGCCGUUUAAAACACUUUAAUGAGAUAUGAUGGACAUACAACAAAUGGCACAUGAACUACGUAAUUUGAUAAAUUUUGACAUAAAUGUGACAUAUAUAUGACAGACAUAUAAACACACUCAUAUAUAUAUAUUCAUGUGCCAUUUCAGUCAAUGACAGACCGAUAUAUGAUCGCAAUCUUAUAAGAUUAUAAUACUGUAUUUUUACUGUACCAUUUCUAUGUUUAGACAUAUUUAGAUACGCAAAUACUUACGACUGUGUUACAGUUGCCUACAAUAUUCAAUACAGCAACAUGCUCUGUAGGUUUGCAUCUUAUGAGUAAUAGUCUAGACCAUACAGCCUAGGUGUGUAGUAGGUGAUACCAUCUAGAUUUGCAUAGUACAGUCUGUGAUGUUGGCAUAAUGACGAAAUCACUGACGAUGCAUUUCUCAGAAAUUAUGCCUGUCAUUGAGUGAUGUGUGACUGUAUACAUAUGGGUGGACCUAUCACCGCAGUCAGGAUAGUGAACAUAUAUAUUAAAUCCAAAAUAUUUCUCAUGCCCUCUUGAAUCCUGUCUUCCUGCCCCUCCCACCCCUGCUCCUUGGAGGCAUUUAGUUCUGUAAAUUUCCCCCUAGCUUUGCUUUAGCAGCAUCCCGUGCAUUUUGAUAUUUUGUUCUGAUUUUAAUGUAAUUCAAAUAUUACAUAGUUUCCCUUUGAUUUCUUUUUUGACCCAGGGAUUAUUUAGAAGUGUGUUAUUUUGUUUCCAAAUAUUUGGGGAUUUUCCAGAUACUUUUCUGUUGUCUAAGCCAAUAACAAAUUUCUGACUCCCUGAAGUCAAAGAUCUGACUCCUCAGGGGGAGAGUUACACCCAAGAACCAGCGGUAUUUUAUGUUAGUGGUCAUUGCCAGAGUGAAUGCCACAGUGUUUGUGAUAAACCCUAAUAAACCCACCAGAGGGCAGCAAGCAGACAUGAAAAUUCUAUUAAAAAGUCUUCCCGAUCCAGGCAAGCAGAUGGGACUCAGGCAGGUGAGGGAAGAAAGGAGCCGGCAAAGCGGAUAAACGGAGGGGUAGUCUUUAAAGGAGAAUGGAGGAAAAUGAGGCUGGGUGGAAGGGAGAAAGG
Molecule: long non-coding RNA, 2613 nt
Filed under: Callithrix jacchus (white-tufted-ear marmoset)
Lineage: Eukaryota; Metazoa; Chordata; Mammalia; Primates; Cebidae
Description: lncRNA (ENSCJAG00000083974.1)
Source: RNAcentral